AUCCAGCUGACCAGUCAUAAAAAGAACGAAACGCGCGUUCUGGAU
This 45-nucleotide non-coding RNA is filed under the name Schistosoma curassoni. Lineage: Eukaryota; Metazoa; Platyhelminthes; Trematoda; Strigeidida; Schistosomatidae. The record is from RNAcentral.